RNAcentral lists this ribosomal RNA (140 nucleotides) under uncultured bacterium. RNAcentral describes it as "partial 16S ribosomal RNA". It matches the Rfam family "Bacterial small subunit ribosomal RNA", at positions 355 to 509 of the family's 1533-position model. The record is from RNAcentral.
UGGGGAAUAUUGCACAAUGGGGGAAACCCUGAUGCAGCAACGCCGCGUGAAGGAUGACGGUUUUCGGAUUGUAAACUUCUUUUCUUAGUGACGAAGACAGUGACGGUAGCUAAGGAAUAAGCAUCGGCUAACUACGUGCC